UACGUAGGGAGCGAGCGUUAUCCGGAAUUACUGGGUGUAAAGGGAGCGUAGACGGCGAGGUAAGCCUGAAGUGGAAGCCCGCGGCCCAACCGCGGAACUGCUUUGGGAACUGUUUUGCUGGAGUAUGGGAGGGGUAAGCGGAAUUCCUGGUGUAGCGGUGAAAUGCGUAGAUAUCAGGAGGAGCACCGGUGGCGAAGGCGGCUUACUGGACCAUAACUGACGUUGAGGCUCGAAAGCGUGGGGAGCGAACAGG
Molecule: ribosomal RNA, 253 nt
Filed under: uncultured bacterium
Lineage: Bacteria
Description: partial 16S ribosomal RNA
Rfam family: Bacterial small subunit ribosomal RNA
Source: RNAcentral